CCUGAAGAUACCUUCCGGCGCAGUGUCCACACAGAUUGUCUGAUAGAAGUAAUGAGCAAGGCGCCUGCGAAGUCGCGACACACCGUGUCCCCUUCGUCUAGCGGUUAGGACUCCGCCCUUUCACGGCGGCAACAGGGGUUCGAAUCCCCUAGGGGACGCCACUUGCUUGGUGACAGGUGAAAGGUGUCGCUAAAAAUAUCUUAAAGCUGACUGCAAAGUCAGGUUUAAGAUAUUGCUCUUUAACAAUCCGGAACAAGCUGAAAAUUGAAACGACGUGUCGUGUUCAUUCUCCGUAAUCAGAAUGAAAUCACGAUAUGUUCGAGUCUCUCAAAUACUUGCACCCGAAAGGGUCUCUUACUCAGGUUGAGUAAUGAGCGAGCUAAGUGAAGGCAAGGCGUCAGCGCGCAGCAACGCGGAGUGGACUUGAGUCCAUGAGCAUUGCGAGCACUGCAUAACGCCGCCGUCACGACGCGCAGCCAUUACGUGAACCGGAGAGGGACGCUUGUGGGUUGUGA
RNAcentral lists this unclassified non-coding RNA (515 nucleotides) under Erwinia amylovora. RNAcentral's name for it is "16S-23S ribosomal RNA intergenic spacer". The stretch from base 87 to 158 matches the Rfam family "tRNA". The record is from RNAcentral. Lineage: Bacteria; Pseudomonadati; Pseudomonadota; Gammaproteobacteria; Enterobacterales; Erwiniaceae.